AUUUAUAACAUACUCAUCCGUCUCAAAUUUUUUCAAUUUAAAUUUGACAAAUUGCACCUUAUACCUUGGGUCAAGAAUAGUAGCUAUGGACAAGAUAACAACAUAGUCGUUCCAAUAUUUGUCAAACUUUGGCAACAUCUCAUUUGCCAUGUUUCUAAUUACCUCAAUCUCACAAGACUUAUUAAACAUCAAAAGUUCUUUUAUCCUCAACACAUGUAAGAAA
This 223-nucleotide long non-coding RNA is filed under the name Panax ginseng (ginseng). RNAcentral describes it as "long non-coding RNA (PGIN_LNC003580)". The record is from RNAcentral. Lineage: Eukaryota; Viridiplantae; Streptophyta; Magnoliopsida; Apiales; Araliaceae.